GCAGUGGAAGACGGUUGGCGACCCGGAUGGCUUUUGUUACCAGGGCCAGCCCAAUCCGCCCGAUUCUCGGUCCCUAUACUGCCUCCUUUUCCCAUGCGCAUCGCAAGGGAUCGGUUGAUGGGGCCCUCAGUAUGACUUCGCUAGGAAAAAUAAAGGUCUUCUUAGGCGGGAGGGGACUGAUUUGAGGACGGAGGGUGGGAGUAGUGCCAGCAGCACUUUGUCGUAGUGGCACUGGGUGGGCAGUUAUCAGUUGCAGUCCGCUCGUUUCUCAGUGCCCACGGUUUCUCACUGACAGUGCAGCUCGUUUCUCAGAGCCGGCGGAUGUUCAUGGGCAGCACCAUCGAGCCAGAAGCAGUAUUUGUCCUGGAGGAAAUCAGUGGUGCUUCAGGAUAUUGUGAAUUUGGUCUUCUGAAAGCAGAAUUCUGAUUUAACAGUAUAAUGGAAUUCGUGAACGUCAUGAUGCUAAUUUGAACCAACAAGCACCCUUGUGAGAGGAAUCUGCUUUUCCUCAAGUCUGAAGAACACCAGGAGAAUCUUUCUGUAUGGAGUUACCAGGAAUCCUCUGCUAAGGAAAGUGAAAGGGAAGAUGCAAUUUCUCCUGGGAAGGGGGGAUGCUGAUGUAGAGGGUGACAAGUAAUAUGCCAUGAAGGAUUCAGUCACCUGGUUAGAUUUAGAGUUAGAGUUAUGGUUAAGGAAGAAGGAAGGAAAAAAGGCAGAAGAGGAAGAAAGGAAGCAAGAAAAGAUAAAAUUUAUUCUAAGAUAAAAUUUGUGAAUUUUGCUAAACUAUAUAUAUUUAUUUAUUUAUUUAUUUUAUUUAUUUAUUUAUUUUUGCUGUCAUUAGCCAAGAUAAGGAAUCUUCAAGUUGAGUAAGACUGGAUUUAGAAUUGUCUGGGGGCUUUCAAAAGAGCCAUUCAGUAAAUAAGAAAGAAUACAGGCCUGCAGCACCAGAGUCUGAGCUGGGGGCAUAGGUUUGUGUGAAUUUGGGCAUGGUGGCUCAGGUCUGUAAUCCCAGCACUUUGGGAGGCUGAAGUUGAGGACUGCUUGAGCUCAGGAGUCUGAGACCACCCUGGGCAACAUGGGGAGACCCCAUCUCUACAAAAAAAUAAAAAAUAUUAACCCAAGGUGGUGGCAUGCACCUUGCUGCCAGCUACUGUGGAGGCUGAGGUGAGAGGAUUGUUUAAGUCCAGGAUGUUGAGACUGCAGUGAGCCCUGUUUGUGGCACUGCACUCCUGCCUGGUCCACAGAGGGAGACUCUGUCUGAAGGUGGGGAAAGAAAAGAUUUGUAUGAAUUUGGUGCUGCUUUGUAUUUCAAAAUAGGAAAGUGGAUAUACGAAUAUAUGGCAUAAAAGGUCCAGAUACUGGACCCCAGUGAACUCAAUUGUUUUCAAGGUCUGACUUUAACCUUGCUAGGCUGAAGAAUCUGGAAUGGCUCAGAUGUUUCUAGUUCAGCUGUAACUUUUGCCUCCUUUAGAGUAAAGCUGUGGGGGACUUGAGUAUACUCAGAGUGGAUCUGAGAGGUAUCUGCUUCCAGAAUGAAUUAGAAUUCCUGGAUUUGAAUCAUAAUCAGAUGGCUGUUAAGGGGUUAUUGAAGACAUAUGGCUCUUAAGUUCACAAUAUUGAAUUCAGGUGAAUAUUAUAAAUAUUUGUAAGUUGGAUUAUAUUAUUGAAGCACUUGGUAAAAAUUGCCAUGCAGGGAUAAAUGUAGGAAGGGGAUUGCAGAGUCUGAUAUCUAAAAAAUAAGUGGAGCAGCAUUUGGAAACCCCGUUCACAUUUUCAAUCUCUUUUCUCUCAUUAGAACCUAACUGCUAUCCUCUAAUCCCUACUUUUGAAAAAAUGUAUUUAAGGCUGGGCGUGGUGGCUCACGCCUGUAAUCCCAGCACUUUGGAAGGCCGAAGUGGGUGGAUCACGAGGUCAGGAGAUCGAGACCAUCCUGGCUAACAUGGUGAAACCCCAUCUCUACUAAAAAUACAAAAAAUUAGCCGGGCGUUGUGGUGGGCACCUGUAGUCCUAGCUACUCGGGAGGCUGAGGCAGGAGAAUGGCGUGAACCCAGGAGGCAGAGCUUGUAGUGAGCUGAGAUCGCGCCACUGCACUCCAGCCUGGGCGACAGAGCGAGACUCCGUCUCAGAAAAAAAAAAAAAGAAAAAAUGUAUUUAAAAACUCAGCAAACAUUAAUGGAGAUAUUCCAAGAGCCAGGCUCCUGGUUCCAAGACCCCACUCAGAGGACUAAGCUCAAAUCUAAUAAGAUGUGUAGGCUUGGGGCCAGUGGGGCGAGGGGAUAUCCACAGGAGGGCCAAUCGAACAAGGCCUCAGACUCAUGAGCCUCAAAUGUAGAUGUUAGAUUUUUCCUCCAAUUGAGAUUAUACAUACAGCCACAGAGCUUCAUGGAUGCAAAUGAAAAUGGUCAUGUCUCAACUUUUAAACUGUGCUCAAUUAGAGGAACUCAUUGCCUAUGGCAUAGUGUCAUGUAAUAAAAUGGUUUUUUUGUUGUCUAAUCUUGUAGUUAGUACAGUGAUAGUACAUUGGGUUUUUGUGUUAAAAGAAGUCAUUUGUUAUCCCAGCACUUUGGGAGGCCGAGGCAGGCAGAUCACCUGAGGUCAGGAGUUCAAGACCAGCCUGACCAACAUGAUGAGACCCCAUCUCUACUGAAUUAGCCAGGCAUGGUGGCGCAUGCCUGUAAUCCCAGUUACUCGGGAGGCUCAGGCAGGAGAAUCGCUUGAAUCGGGAGGCAGCGAUUGCCGUGAGCCAAAAUUGCGCCACUGCAGUCCAGCUUGGGCAACAAGAGCAAAACUCUGUCUCAAAAAAAAAAAAAAAAAAAAAAGGCUGGGCGCGGUGGCUCACGCCUGUAAUCCCAGCACUUUGGGAGGCCGAGGCGAGCAGAUCACAAGGUCAGGAGAUCGAGACCAUCCUGGCCAACACGGUGAAACCCCAUCUCUAUUAAAAAUGCAAAAAAAUUAGCCGGGCAUGUUGGCGGGCGCCUGUAGUCCCAGCUACUUGGGAGGCUGAGGCAGGAGAAAGGUGUGAACCUGGGAGGCGGAGGUUGCAGUGAGCUGAGAUCCCGCCACUGCACCCCAGCCUGGGCAACAGAGCAAGACUCCAUCUCCCCCACCCAAAAAAACAUCUUUAAAAUUUAGCUUUUAAAACACAUUUAGUUAUUAUUUUACUGUGUUUAUUCUUCGUGGUUAGGCACAUUUAUGCCUUUUUGUUUCCUCCCUUGAGUUGUGGGCCUGGACUCCUAAAACCUCCAUUUCUAAAUUUGCCUUACCAACAGGGUCACAAUGGUAGGCAGGCUUAGUGGGACAUGAGGCAAUAAAAAGAUGAACAGUCAUUCUGGUUAUGGCUUGGCAGUGGGAUGGCAGCACAUUAGCUUGGCUCUCACGGUGUGGGCUGCUUUGGUUUCUUUUCCUAACUGAACUCUGACAGGUAGAGUCCUCAUGUCCAGGAAUAAUUCCAGAAAACAAUAAAAAAAAAAAAUUGGUUUUCAGACCAGGACACAAACAUAACCAUAGUAGAUGAGGGCUCACUCAUUUACUAAACUUGAAUGUGGUUAUUACUUCAUUGCUAUUGUAAACCAAAAAUAAAAUUUGAAGCCCCCUGCCACCAACAUCUGAAUGGACCCCUCUUCUCCGCCAAGGGCAUUCCAAAGUUAGACUGAAAAAGUAGUUUCAAGCCAUGCUGGGAAGGGGGAGUCAGACAUGCCUCAUUAUAUUCUCCUCUCUUUUAAAAUUAUUGAUAGAACAGACUCUUUAAGUCUGGUUAGAAACAUUUACAAUCUAUCUCUCUGAAGUCUUCCACCUGGAGGCUUCAUCUGCGACACCUUUGUCUCUGGAACACCUUAUGGCAACCCAGGCAUUCCUUUCUAGAGAUAAUAGUUAUUGCAACAAAUUGCCAAUCAUAAAAUUUUUGAACCUCUCCAACUUGAAAGAUCAUGCUUCCAGUUGUACUGCCUUUCUGGACUGAACCAAUGUACAACACCUUAAAUGUAUUGAUCUCAUGACUUCCUAAAAUAUAUAUAAACCAAGUUGUGCACUGACCACCUGAAGCACAUGUUCUCAGGAUCUCCUGAUGGCUGUUUCAUGGGCUAAUGGUCACUCACAUUUGGUUCACAAUAAAUCUCAUCAACUAUUUUACAGAAUUUGACCCUGUGUCUGCUGGACCUCCCAGAAGAGCAGCAGCACAUGUGCUGAUUUCUUUGGGUUUCAAAAUUGACAACAGUCAAUGGAAAACUGGAUUCCAAAUUCUACCAGAGAAUACUGUGCCAGGUGCUUUCAGUGGGACCCUUGCUGUCUCUGGGAUUUCAAGUGCUAUUACAAUGGUCUCCCCCAGGGCACAUUAAAGGACUGGUGAGAUCCCUAACUGGCAUGGCUCCAGAAGUGAUGUGGAAGUUAGGAAACUCAGGCAGUCAUUGAUUUCCCAGCCCCACUGACGCUUUUCCUCUAUCUCCUGGCUGAGAAAAGAAGACCAGGAAGAGCCGUGAGGGACUUCCAGGGUGGCAUGUGGCUGUCUCCAGCACACGUACAUAACCUGGAUUAUAUCUGUAACAAGCUAUGCUGAUGGAUCAGCAGGUUAACCCAAGCUGAAAAAAGCAGUCAAGCACUUCCUUUGGUGUGUGAGGCAGAAACCAGGACAUCUGCUGGUCCACCAGGGGACAAAAAUCAAUCCUAUUUCACCAAUGUGUCUCCUCCGUGUGGGGAGUAUAGGGCAUUGAAGGUGGAUGAGAAUCACCAUCCACCUUCUGCUGCACAGGAAAGACAAGGGAAGACUCCAGGGAAGACAGAGGAGGAAAACGUCGAGCAGCCCCAGGUGGAUGUGUCUGUGUGUGUGUGUGUGUGUGUGUGUGUGUGUGUGUGUGUACCUUGACAGUGGGUAGAGGAAGGGAGAGGAGGGUUGAGGUCUUCCCACUAGAGGAGUGAAAUGAGCAGAACUGAGAAAAGAGGUCAGAGAAAAGAAAGAGGAACCUACAAGCCACCACAGAAUUUUCUUUCCCCAGAGAAUGGUCUCUUGCCCGACUAGGGGCUGGGUAUCCUUGUGAAGUCACCGGAGGUUUUCAAGGGGUGGGCUUCCUGGCUUCAGUAGACUCAAGGUCCCUAAGGUCCAGUUAGGAUAGGCGCCUGGGAGGGCUCCCGAGUUGGAAUAAGAGUCGGAAGAACUGACAGGGCUGGGGGCGCACUAAGCACACUCUACUCCUGAGAGGUGAGGGUGGGGAUGUUGGAGGGAAAAAGGGCUGCUUUUUCCUGCCUGCAGGCUUCAGAUUCACAGGGGAUGUGAGGAGAGGGCGGAGGAGGAGGAAGCAGCGGCUGUUUAUGCUGGGAAGAUGGCUCAGUUGAGAAGUGAGGCAGAUGUGGCCUCAGAGGGUCUGGCGGAUGGCUGCCGGGAUCACCGGGGGCUGGACUUUGAGAUGUCCAGGACGAAGUGUUGCCCUUUCAGUGCUGCCCUCCCUGUGUCUGCUGGAACUGUUGGAGCCGCAGUGCAGCCUAAUUUUGACUUCAGGUAAAAUAAUUCAAUAUACUGAGGCCCAGGGGGAACAAAGCAAGGUCUACUCCAUAUCUCUGAACAGCUGGUGUCUUUCAGUGCCUAAACUCAAUCAGAAUCCUGGGAGCAAAAGUAGCUCUCCAGUGCAGUCCAUGCAGGUUACUUCUUGCAACAUAGAGGUGACUGAAGCAUGGUAAGCAGAUCUAGAAAGGCAAACAUCUCUAGCAGAUCUAGAGAGGCUAGCCAAUGUUAGCUAGCAGUGUCUUUAUGUUGAUAAACCUAUUCAGAAUGUUAACUUUGUUUGUUGGUUUGUUUGUCCAUUUUUGUCUCCCAGGCUGGAGUGCAGUGGUGCGAUCUCGGCUCACUGCAACCUCCAGUAAUUCUCCCGCCUCAGUCUUUCCAGCAGCUGGGAUUACAGGCUCCCCAUCGCCACACCCAGAAUUUUUUGUAGAGACGGGGUUUCGCCAUGUUGCCCGGGCUGCUCUCAAACUCCCGAUUUCUUAGUCUGACCAAGUCAGGGUUUAGCUAUUUCUUAGCGUAGCAAGUUGAGAUUUAUUCCAGUUUCGAUUUCUAGUUGUAACAAUGCUGGCUUUAACCGUGCCUACGUAGUCGUUGCAAGUUCCUGUUUUGUAAUAGGAACCCCCAUUAUAGCCGUUCGUACGGUUUUUAAGUCUUGUAGAAAUCUGGGUACUGGAGAAUGUAAUUAAAAAAAAAAUUUAGCAGUGCCUGAAAUCUUUUAGUCAUACCAAGUGUGAUUUCACAAUAGAGAUUCUCGCCCUGGCUGUGCUUGUGAUUUUUCACUCAUGCAGAAGUUGAGGUGUCUAGGCUACAGGAACUUUUUGGUGUCGCAAAUACCGGUUUAGCCAUGGCUGUUUCUUCUUAAUCCGAGGAAUUUUCGAAUAGGCGCAAGAGGCACAGGUUUAGUGCUAAUACAAAUAUAGCCGUAGGAUCGCAUCGUUCAACACUGCAAUUUCUUUGUAGGGUUAUUUGUAUGUUUUGUAUACUCAAAAAAAUUUUUUUUGAUGUGUCUUUUUCUGGGAGCGAGGUUACUGGUGUAUUUUAUUUUCAUUUCUGUUUGCUUUAAAAAUUUAUUUUAUUUUUUAUGUAAAUGUUAUGUAUUUUAUUUUUUCUUACCCACUGCCUUCCCCAGGAGAGUAAAUGUGGCAUAAUUUCUUCUACUGAUUUUGAGUAUCAUGUCUCAGCUUCCUACUAACUAGCUUUCUCCCGUGAGUCGGGGAGCAGAGCUGGUGCCUGGUCUCUAGGGUUCUCUUCCGCGGCUCUGUGCCUAUGUCGAGCCAGCAGUUUCGCAUCAGCACUUUCGCCAAUAGCGGAGACUCAGUGUUUUCUCGGCUGCUGCACCGCUGGAAGCGCUGAACACAACAGAACGUUUCGGCGGGGCGCUGUGGCUCACGCCUGUAAUCCUAGCACUUAGGGAGGCUGAGGCGGGUGGAUCACUCGAGGUCAGAAGUUCGAGACCAGCCUGGCCAGCGGGUGAAACCCCGUCUGUACUAAAAAUACAAUAAUUAGCUGGCCGUGGUGGCGCGUGCCUGCAAUCCCAGUUACUCGGGAGGCUGAGGCAGUAUGCUUGAACCCAGGUGGCGGAGGUUGCAAUGAGACGAGAUUGCGCCACUGAACUCCAGCCUGGGUGACAGAGCGAGGCUCCUUCUCAAAAACAAAACAACCCAGAACGUUUCUUGUUCACAAGACUCAGAAGUGCUUUGUGGUAACGCUUCCCCUCUCCUAGCGCCGCCACUUUCCCCGGGCUGGCUGUCUCACGGUCUCAGCCCAGUGAUUGGCCGAGGAGGCGCUCUUUCAGCACUUUCGCUGGAAGGGCUUGGGCUCGGUUUUUCUGCCACAGGCGUUUCAUUGGGUAGGUGCUUUCUCGGUGGAAGCACUGUACAACCUUCCAAGCCUCGAUAUUUCUCAGAGACGACGAUUUCUUAGUGGCAAUACCUUAACUGCACCAAAAACUAAAGUUUGCCGCUGGGUACUCCGCUAGUCGUUCAGUGUCCGCAUUUGCUAUUGAUGCAGGAUUUUUGCUUCUAAGCUCAGCUAUAUCCGGGUCCUUGUCUCACGAUCAGGAGGAAGUGGGCACGCGGAUAUCGAAGAGUGAGUGGAGUAGAAUUUAUUAAGCGUAAACGAAAGCUCUCAUAAAAAACAAGGGUCCUGAAAGCAGGUUGCCGGUUGCUCCUUAACGGCUGAAUACAAAGGCUUUUAUAUGAAAGCUAAGGAGGCUGGGUUCCCUGUUUGUAUAAGGCGAGAAUCCCGGGUGGCUCCAUCCCAUUCCCCCAGUGCGCAUGCGCGCUCUUAAUCCGCAGCAGGCAUGCUUAGGCAAGUCCCUUGUGCAAGUUCCCUUAUCUGCACAAAACACCAGUCGGAGGUUCUCUGGGGACCCUUCCCUUACAGUCUCCCUAAAGCUGGCUAACUCCUUUCACUAUGUCCCAGUAUCCCUGGUUCCUCGGACUGGCACUUUCUGAGUCAUAGCACCGCUCAUUCGUCCGAGCAGAAUUGAUCUCGGUGGCAGCACCUCUGGUGGGUCAAGCCUGCAGCUUCUCCUGAGCAGUUUCGUUAGUUUUUGGGUCCUAGAACCGCUAGUGGUACCAUAGCGGCUCUUCAUGGGUUGCAGGACGUUUGCCAACUCCACCCCACGCUGCCUGCCUAGGUUCGGCUACGGGGCAAAAAGAACAGACUCCUGCAAAGGAAGAACCCCGAGGGUUGGAUAUUUAGGAAAGACGUCCUUUGCAGUGCCACGUCCGCGGAUGCUGCACUUGGCUUUCUCCUCCCUCCUGGGGAAGAAUUGAUGUUUACUUCUCCCCACUCUCCGGGCCGCAUUAUCCAGGGAUUUCGGGGACUAGAUUACCUGAGAUUUUAGCGCUUCUACUGGAUCAUCCUUUUGGAAAUAAUUAUCACUUACAAUAAUGUCUAUCCGGGCCGGGUGCGGUGGCUCACACCUGUAAUCCCAGCACUUUGGAAGGCCGAGGAGGGUGGAUCACGAGGUCAGGAGAUCGAGACCACCCUGGCCAACAUGGUGAAACCUCGUCUCUACUAACAGUACAAAAAUUAGCCGGGCGUGGUGGCGCGCGCCUGUAGUCCGAGCUACUUGGGAGGUUAAGGCAGGAGAAUAGCUUGAACCGGGAGGACUGCAGUGAGCCGAGAUCCUGCCACUGCACUCCAGCCUGGCAACAGAGCAAGACUCCGUCUCAAUAAUAAUAAUAAUAAUAAUGUCUAUCCAUGUUCUUUAAAAAAGUUUGCCUUCACUAUUCUUUAUCAACGUUUGGUUGUCUUUCUCAAUAAAAUAAUAGAGAAACAUCAAAUGCCUUUUGUUUCUUUUGUUUUGUUUGGUUGUUGUUGUUUUAGGAUCAAGACCAAGUCAGAGGUCUGUUGCUGGGUAAGGAGUGCAGCAAAUCCAGGCGACCCAGGUUUCCCUGCCAGUCCUGGCAACAGCAACCAGACACCCCACCCCUGAGCCUCAUCCUUACUCAACGUCAUCAGCAGGAACUCAGGUAACAGGAAUUUCACAUUUGUGUACAAUUUUAUUGAGAAGAGGAAGGAAAAAAGGCAUAAAGUGAUCUGAAGGCGAAACUUCUUCCAUCGCAUUUGAGAGAACUCAGGUAUUAUUGUAACUUUAUUUAUUUAUUUAUUUAUUUACAAGAGGAUCAUCCAAUGGAAGGUCUCAGAGGAAGUUUCAGGGCCCAGGAUUCCAAAGGCGGGCCGUGGACACAGUCUCAGGGCGUCUGUCCCCAAGCGCAUGCCAUCUGCAGCCAGCAGUCUUGGAACUUUGGUUGGUGGCACCAGGGGACAGCAGUAGGCUGACACUCUCAAAGGUCUUCUCGGAUGGAAGUCUCCGGCUCCAGUCGUCUGUCCACUAAGCGAGAGGGUUUUUGCUGCAGCUCAGGUGGGAAUGCAGUGUCAUGCUCUUGGCAACCUGGACCUCCCAGGCUCAAGGGAUCCUCUCCGUCAGCCUCCAGAGUAGCUGGUGAUCCUCCCCCCUCAGCCUACAGAGUAGCUGGGAAUACAAAAAUUGUGUUUCACUGUGUUAUCUGGUUUGGUCUUGGACUUCUGGCCUUAAGUGAUCCUCCUCCCUCAGCCUCUCAAAGUGCUUGGAUUACAGAUGUUAGCCACCAUGCCUAGCCCAUAAUAAAGUUGUUCUAGUCUUAGAUUCUUCUCUCAUGAUGGUAAUUCCACCUUCAGUUUUUGGGGUUUUUUUUUUUCGUUUUUUUUUCUUUUUUUUACAACAUCUUGCUCUGUUUCCCAGGCAGAAGUGCAGGGGCAGGAUCCCAGCUCACUGCAAACUCUGCCCCCUGGGUUUAAAUGAUUCUACCACCUUAGCCUUCCGAGUAUCUGAGAUUACAGUUUCAUGCCACCAUGUCUGGCUAAUGUUUGUAGUUUUAGUAGAGAGGGGGUUUUACUAUGUUGGCCAGGCUGGUCUCAAACUCGUGGCCUCAAGUGAUCCUCCUGCCUCAGCCUUCCAAAGUGCUAGGAUUACAGAUGUGGGCCACUGCACCUGGCCCAGAUUUUUUUUUUCGCUUUGUUCAUUGCAUUAUUCAUAUCGAAGUGGAAAAUCGCGGAUAAUUCUAGUCUUACUAUACUACCUAAUAUAGCAUCCUACUAUACACUUAUGUUAAGUUUCUUGAUAGCAUUUAUCACGGCCGAGCGCAGUGGCUCAUGCCUGUAAUCCUAGCACUUUGGGAGGCCGAGGUGGGUGGAUCACCUGAGGUAAGGAGUUCAAGACCAGCCUAGCCAACACGGCUAAACCCUGUCUCUACUAAAAAUACAAAAAUUAACCAGGCAUGUUGAGCGCCUGUAGUUCCAGCUACUCGGAAGGCUGGGGCGGGAGGAUUGCUUGAACCCAGGUGGCAGAGGUUGUAGUGAGCCGAGAUCAUGCCACUGCACUCCAGCAGUGGAAACAGAGUGAGACUGUCUUAAAAACAAACAAACAAAACAACAACAACAGCAACAAAAAGCAUUUAUUAUAUAAAUACUGUCUUAUUUAUUUAUUUGUUUUCCUGUUUACUGUCUUUUUUCAACUCAUGAAGGUGUCAAACACUUUGUGGCCAAGUCCAUGUCUACUUGUUGAUCACUUAUUUCUGGGACCUUGAUCCCUUUGUAGUACAAUAUAGAUGCUUAGCAUUUGUUAAUGAAGAAACAAUAAAUGUAUUAAAAGACUGGGUGUGGUGGCUCAUUCCAGAAAUCCCAGCACAUUGGGAGGCUGAGAUGAGAGGAUUGCUUGAGCCCAGGAGUUUGAGCCGAGUCUGGGUAACAUAGGGAGACUCUACCUCUACAAAAAAUUUAAAAAUUAGCUGGGUGCCUGGUGUGCCUCUGUAGUCUCAGCUACUUGGGAGGCUGAGGUAGGAGGAUUGCUUGAGCCUAGGAGAUUGAGGGUAAAUUGAACAGUGAUCAUGCCACCACACUGCAGCCUGGGUGACAGAAUGAGACCCUAUCUCAAAAAAAAAAAAGAAACAAAAAACAGUAGUCUCAGAGGUCUAUAGCUGAUUAUAAUCCUAUAAAAGGAUCAAAGUAAAACAAUAAUUGUUGAUGGCAAAAGUAUUAGAAUAGCAAGGGUUAAAGAUGCAAUGGACAAGGAAAUUUGGUUAUAGCUAUGGCGUACAACAAUUUAAUAUAAUGAUCAUAAUUAGUUCUGAUAACAUACACUAACAUUUCAGAAUCACAGGAAUCUCAUACGAUUUUGUAAUACAUACUAAUAAGACAUUCAUAUAAAUACAAUCUAAAGAAAGUUAAAUAUCAUUUCAUAUUUGAUAAUGCAUCUUAUGUGAUCUUAUUAUGCCAAAUAAGCCAAAUAUAUCUCUUUGGAUUUCAGGGGACUUAAUGUCAAAAAAAUUAAUGAGGUAAAAAAGACCGAAUUUAGAAUUGGAUUUUAGAAAGUUUGUCAAAUACUUAAAACAAGGUCAAUGUUUAAAACACUUGAUAUCACAAAAUAGAAUCACAGGUCAUUGUAAAAUAAGUCAGUCAUUUAGUCAAAGUGGUAACUCAAAUAUUUCAAAAACAAAAAGGCAAAACCUUUUACUCUUUGAGACUUACUUUCCCAAAAAAUAAGACCUAAUGAAGAUAGAAUGAAGCCAAUUAAAUCUAUUUCUCAAAUCUUAUAGACAAGUGUAUUAAAUUUUAAUCAUCUUGACCAGAAGCAAUAAUUUUAUAAACCUUUCAUAACGUUUUAUAAUGUUUAAAAAAAGAAUGGGUUAAUACCUCAAGAAAACAUUGCUAAUCUGACACAGGGGCCCACAGGCUGGUCUUGCAUCAGUGUUCCUUUUAUAUUAAUCUUUAUAGGCUGGCCAUUGUGGCUCACAUCUGUAAUCUCAGUACUUUGAGAGGCAUAGGUGGGUGGAUUCCUUGAUCUCAGGAGUUUGAGACUAGCCUUGGCAAUGUGAUGAAACACUGUCUCUACAAAAAAUACAAAAAUUAGCCAGGCAUGGUGGUACACACCUGCAGUCCCAGCUACUCAGGAGGCUGAGGUGGCAGGAUCGCUUGUGUCUGGGAGAUGGAGGUUGCAGUGAGCCAGGAUCAUGCCACUGCAUUCCAACCCAGGUGACAGAGCUAGUUCCUGUCAAAACAAAACAAAACAAAACAAAACAAAACAAAACCACUGUUUAUAGAGAAAUACUGAACUAACUUUCUCUCUUAAAGUAGGUCCUUACAAGUCCAAACACCCACUUCUUCUGCAAUAGUCCCUGGGACUAGGGGGUUGAAUAGUUUAAUUUUCUGGACACAGGUCUUGUGAAUGCAGCUUCUUCUGAUUUUCAUCUUCUCUUAGGUCUGAAGAUGAGGCUUCAGUUGCUGUUAAUGUUUAAGAUUUAGUAGGAGUUGGUGACCUUUUUCGACCCAGGAGUGAAAGCCCUGUAACUUGGUAACACAAAAACGUUAAAAGAAUUACAGAAAGUUAUGUAGAUAUAAUAACCUUUUUUAAUCUCAGUUUUUCUAAGCAAAUAAAAACCUAGUAAUAAUUACACAGGAAUUAUUUUGAUAAAAUGUACAGUAUGUUUUUACCUUUUUCCUAAAUAACCUUUGAAUUAGAUAAAACUAUUUUCCUUUUAAUAAUAACACUUUUUCUUUGGAAAAAUGUUUGCCUACAGUACUUUUGUAAAGUUGAGAAUGACCCAGACAUUUAAUGACUACCUAUUAUUUCAUAAAAUAUAACUCUAAGAUUUUUUUUUUUUGACGGAGUCUCAGUCUGCCUAGGCUGGAGGACGGUGGCACGAUCUGAGCUCACUGCAACCUCUGCCUCCGAGUUCAAGAGAUUCUCCUGCCUCAGCCUCCUGAGUAGCUGGGAUUGCAGGCAUGCAUCAUCACCGGCUAAUUUUUGUAUUUUUAGUAGAGAUGGGGUUUCACCACUUGGGCCAGGCUGGUCUCCAACUCCUGACCUCAAGUGAUCUGCCCAUGCUGGCCUCCCAAAGUGGUGGCUCACACAGUAAUAUCACAGUCUUCUGAAUUCAAAAUAGGCCGAGGCUGGAGCUCAGGCACCACCUCUGCGGAAUCUCAAGCAGGCUUCACAUAGCCAAGAAAAUGUUGCUCCAUCGCUUAAUUAAGCCUCAGAGCAGGAGGACAUAAGCGUUUGCGCUGAUUGACGAGAUGAAGCAGAACCUUUAGCACUACCAUCAGCCUGGGUAUUUAUGCUCUCCGGAGCUCGUGGGCAGAGGGCACCCAGAUAUUAUGAAACUCAAUAGUAACGAAUGCACGAAAAUUAGUAGACAAAUGAAAACCGGUAAAAUUCUAGAGAGCACAUAGAAACAAAACAAAUCGUAAUUCCGACAGAAAAACAGCGAGAAAAGAAGUCGAAAUGAAACGGAUACUAAGCAAACCUUACAGAGAACGAGCGCUACAAAACGCAGGGAUUAAAGAGUUCUUCAGGGGCCAAAAACCAUCUGUGUCCGGGAAAUGAGCAUUGCUGCCACCGGAAAACUGUCCGCUAGGUCUCUGCACUGCUCUGGACCUCGCUAGCAAGAAUCUGGCGGCGCUGAGACUCAGCAAGCGCCGGCACCUAGCGGAUAGCGCUGGUAUUGCCAAACAAAUAUCCGUUUAGGCGCCAUAACGGUGCUGCUAGAAAGAAACUGCGGAUUCUUAGGAGGGGUGCUUCCAUCCCGAAACAUACUGUCUGGAGGAAUGGACCGACUCUGUUUAAAUGUGUUGUGACGUUUUAAUGUGUUUUAAUCCGUUUAAUGUGUUUAAUCCGUUUAAUGUGUUUUAACACGUUUUAAUGUGUUGUGACAGGAAAAGAGCCGGCUAACGGUAUUACGGAAGUACUAGUUGGCACAGAGGCUCGGUGCAAUUACCGUUCUGCACCGUAAAACGGGUUUAGGAAGUUCCUAGGAGAUACUAGCGGUGCCAGAACCGAGAAAGUGACGACACAGACAACUUAUGGACUCCGCGUACGGGAAACGUUCCGUUGGGCGCUAAGAACGGUGCAGCAACUGAAAAACCGCUCAGUGGGCGCUACUGGCAAAAGCGUUGCUGCAAAACCGCCAGCUCCGCAUUAGAAGCAGAGCCGCCAGACAGAACCCGGGACCUGAAACCACCGAAGCGGAGACCGAGCUUGGCUCCCCAGCUCCUGAGAGAAUGCAAGUCAAGGAGUACGAAGCUGUGAUACUCAAAAUUAGUAGAAGAAAAAUGAAUAACAUUUAAAUAAGAUAAAAUUUUAAAAUAAUAAAUUCUAAAAUUCAAAUAAAAAGGCAAAGCAAACACACUGGAAACUACCGGUAGCAUUGUUCUCAGAGCAAAAGACACAAAAAGAGCAUUUAAAAAUAAGCAAAAAUUAGAGAGAACCAACCCUACAAAGCAGAAAUUACAAGUAUUGCCAAAAGAAGCAAUUCUGUGAUUAGGAUAUCCCUGUUAGAUCUAAACCGGUACAUGUUACACCUAAGUCUACAUUUCUUAGGACAAAAACAAAAACAAACAACAACAACAACAAGAAACCAACAAAACCCAGUCAUGGUUAAACCUGUUUACGACUAAAAAAUCGUAGUAGCUGAUAUAUCCCGACUUGGUCCACAAGAGGAAAAAGUCGCGUUCGGCGGAAAUUGCUAUCGUCAAACCGAGCUUCGUAAACCAGAAAUCGCUUUUGCCGGCAUUUCCUGACUUCCAUGGGAGUUUAAAAAACACCAACAUAGCUAAGGCGGGACUUGAUGUUGCGCAGCUAGCCUUGGUGUAAGAGCUCCCAGGCACUGCUAAACUGGUCAUCGCUAAACCUAAAUGAAUCGCAUUCGCUGGUACACAGAUUUCUACAGGAGUUGAACAUCUCCUGCGCAGCUAAAGCAAGCCGUACUAGUAGGAAGCCGGAACUUGCCACGACUUAGAAACUUGAGGCUUUGGGAGGCCAAGGCGGGUGGAUCAUCUGAGGUCGGGAGUUUGAGACCAGUCUGGCUAAUGUGGCAAAACCCCGUCUCUACUAAAAAUACAAAAAUUAGCCGGGUGUGGUGGCGGGCGCCUAUAAUCCCAGCUAUUUGGGAGGCUGAGGCAGGAGAAUCACUUGAACCCGGGAGGUGGAGGUUGCAGUGAGCCGAGAUCGCCGAGAUGGCGCCACUGCAUUCUAGCCUGGACGAAAGAAACUCUGUCUCAAAAAAAAAAAAAAAAAAAAAAAAAAAAAGAAAAAGAAAAAAGAAACUUGAGGCAGGGCUAACUCUGCGUUUGUUAUGAUUAGGCUACAGGAAACCCGGAGUUGCUGGGAAAUGAGUCACAGGGUCACUCAGCCUUUCUGUGGCGAAACAUCGACUUCCUACGACCUAGAAAUCGCCGCCAGGGCUAGGCUGGUGUUUGUCCUAAGUGGGUACUUGCUUGGGUUGAGAAAUCACAUUUUGGCUAUUCCCCGACUUGAACCAGGGGAUAGAAAUCGUAGUCACCGGCUGGGCGCAGCGGCUCAUGCUGUAAUCCUGGCAGUUUGGGAGGCCGAGGCGGGCAGAUUAUUGAGGUUAGGAGUUCGAGACCAGCCUGGUCAAUAUGAUGAAACACCGCCUCUAGUAAAAAUACAAAAAUUAUCCGGGCGUGGUGGCGAGCGCCUGUAAUCCCAGCUACUCAGGAGGCUGAGGCAGUAGAAUCCCUUGAACCUGGGGUGCGGAGGUUGCAGUGAGCCAAGAUCGCGCCACUGCACUCCAGGCUGGGCGACACGGCGAGACUCUGUCUCAAAACAAAACAAAAGGAAAAGAAGAGAAAAGAAAAAGAAACGCAGGCACCCUGAAAUCGAAACUUGUUAGGACCAACAAGCCAACGACAGACGAAUCUGCGGGGUCCUGCGACAGACACGCCAGCCCCGCCGCCACAGCACAGGGUUCUGGAGGUCGAGCUGUUCUGCGGGUUCUGCGGCGGCGCUGGGAAGAGACGGCGCCCGGGCAGCUCCCCUGUCACCGGCUUGGAGGAGCGGCGGGCUCCCCUAGCCCAGCGCCGCCGCCGCCGCCCGGGAACGCCAGGCUCACCCCAGCUGGGGAAGCUCCGAAUCCCUCAGAUCGGCGACCUGAGUGCUGUCGCCCCGAGAAAAUGGAGGCAUCGAGCAACGAGCUGUGCUGAGACCGAGAGACCUCAGUUCUGCGAAAUGUCGGUGCCUGGAGCUUGCGAAUGACUGCGGCCGGCGGGUUGUCAAGGACAACAUUCCUUAUGGCGCAACCAACAGCGCUGUCACCAAGAAACUGGACUCUGAGAAAAAAGAGGGUUUCGGCCACCGAGAAACUCCGUGCCACAUGUGCCGUGACAGCAAAACCGCCCGCUCCGCGCCGCUGGUGAAAGAGCUAACGAACGCCAGGUGCUGCGACAGUGACACCGGGACUAGAAGGCCUCGGAUGGAGAAUGGGACGCCCAGAGCAAGCAGGAAAACGUUUUGUUUGGCUCAACUAGCGCUGUCGCAACCGGAAAACUGUCAGGCCAGUGCUGCUGCGGAUGUGAGAAACCGGUGAUCCGAAGGCGGAGUGGCGCUGGGCGCUGGACUCGCUGGUGUGAAAAUCUGGCUGCUCUAGGACCCGGCAAGCGCGGGCACCAGGCGAACGCCAGCGACUUUGCCAGACAAAUGCAUGUCUUUUUUGGUCGCCAUUCAAAGAUGCAGCCGGCAGUCAGCCCCGGCUCUGAGAAACAAGUGGAGGUGUCAGCCAUAAACCCUCCGUUCAGGGAAAAGAGAGUCGCUGCGACGGAUCGACUGGCCGUUGGGUGGAACUUUCUUUGGUGGCCUAGUGACUAGAAAAUAAAAACGAAAACGAAAUAAAAAACUGCUACUGACAUUACUCCCACGCUCCCUCCUCAAGUCAGUGGCUUCAGGCUUAAGAAAACCUGUAUUUUUCUUGGCUGAUCCGUGAUCCCUAAUUACUGAGGGCCCCGCGACCCACCAAGUGCGAUUCGCAGAGGGAAAGGAGCUGGAAUAAGGAUCCAGAAUGGGACGGAUUUGGCUCCUCCAGGAAGAAAGCAAAACAAAUGCAGGUCGCGAACACUUUACAUUGCAGGAAGCUGCUCUUCCAGUGGCCGCGGCUGGGUCCUUCCACACCACCUCUCUGUCCUAGGCCUUCGUCCCGGUUCAGCCCUCACGGAUUCUAGGCUAGCGGUCAACAACCGCAUCCCUCCGGAACCUGGAAACUCUAGGUCCGAGAUCUCGGUGAAGAAUGAAAGGCACAGCGCCGCUCAACCCAGGCUUCAGGCCUGCCCCGCUGGUCCCGUCCCUUCCCUGUGGGAUGGAACUCUGUGGGAAUCGCUCCUUAUUCUGAUGGUUCACUCAUUCAGAUGUCCUUGAUAUUUGGGGAUAUUUCUAAAACAGCUGGGGAGAAAAAUGGACUGCGAGGCUCCGGUGUUGGACGUGAAAUUGGCAGUGAGACAUCCGCCUCUAAGCCCAGGGAAAAGCUUAAAUUGUGGUUCUCUGUCUCUAGCACCGUGAUCUUUGAAAUGCGUUAUUGAUUUUCUUCUUUCUUCUGGGAAAUGCAAUGCAGGUGAACUUGUAAGUGUUGAAUCCUCCCUCUCCUCACUGUUCAAUCAGACUGAGGCCUACUUCCUUUCUGAUAAGAAAUAUGGAACUGCCAUUGCUCAGUAGGAAAAUGUCCUUUCUACAAGCAUUCAUAUUUCAAUAAAAAUCUGCACUUUGUGAGUUGAGCCCCCUCAAAGAGACCUACAGACCCUGCCAUGAGCAUCUCCAUCCACACUCAUCAUUUCCCAUUUUCACCACUUCUGCUCCUGUGCAAACCAGUACUAUCCUUUUCUGGGGGAUCCUAGGCAGAAGCGAUGGCAGGACAAAGGCAGAGAAGGCACUGCCAGGUCCUGCAUGCCAGUAAAACUACUCAUGUCAGCUGUUCUGCAGGAUCCCAUGAGAAGGUGAGUCACCAGAAAAUGCAGUUUCCACAUCCUGAUGAUUUCAUCUCCCUACCCCAACUGAUCAAUUUCUCCAAUUUUCCAGCCUCUCACCCUCCACAAUCCCCUUAAAAACUGUAGCCCAGAACUCUCUGGAAUGAUGAAUUUGAAGGUUUGCUCCUGUCUCCUCACUCAGAAGCCUGUAAUCAUUAAACUCUUUCUCUGAUGCAAACUCUGCUGUCUCAGUGUAAUUGGUAUGUAAGUGUGCAGCAGGCAUAUGAAUCUGUUGGUCCUGUAACAGUUGGGAUGCAGUGGCACAAUUGUAGCUCACUGUAAUCUCUACCUCCUACACCUAAGGGAACCUUACCACCUCAGCACUCGGAAUAGCUAGGACUUUAGGUCUGUGUGCUACCACCCAUGGCUAAUUUAUAAAAUAAUUUCUUUGUAGAGACAGGAUCUUUCUAUAUAGCCUGGGCUGGUCUCAAACUCCUGGCCUCAAGGUAUCCUCCCCACUCUGCAUCACAAAGAGCUGUCAUUACAUGUGUGAGAUACCAUACCCUGCCCAUGGUAGAAUAUUAACACAUGGGUGUGAAAUGUUGGCUUCAGUCUGGCAUGUUAUUACUUUAUUAACAGUAAAGAAUAAUAUCUGAUCAUGAAAUUGUUUUUUUUUGUAAAUAGAAUAUUUUCUAUUUACAUUGAUGCUUUUGUAAAUAGAAUAUUUGACUCUGAUGAAGACAUAUUAUAAUUUCACUAUGGAUAUGACCUGAAAUGGAAAAAAUUGACUUACAGAAAAAAUACACCAAAGAAGUCACCAUUUUAUAUUUGUUCUUAUUACAAUUAUCUUUCAAGCCAUAAAAAACAAAAAUUAGUGAUUUUAUUACCAACUGAGAAGAUUAUUUUCUGCCAAGCAAUCUCUAAACAUUAACUUUUACUAGGAAUGUAUUCAUGAAAGGGACUUUGUAAAAUAGGAGCAAAUUUGACCUCUUAUUUAAUCAUUCAGAGAUGAAAUAAAAUAUAAUACAUUAUUUGAAAAGAUAUCCAGGAAGCAGGAAGUACAGUCAGGGAUCCCAGGAAUGGGUGUGGUGAUGUCUGUUGCACCAGGGCUUAGAGGGCAGGAUCUUUCCUCUAGAAACUCUGUGUGUCAGGCAUGCCUAGACAAAAUACACUUAUAUUUGAUGUUUUAGCAUAUCAAAGAGGUAUUGCUUGGUUUAAAGAUGAGGCUCAGUGAGUUUACACCACAGUCCAAGAUCACAAAGGUAGUUCAUGCUGGAGCUGGAUUGAAGUCCCAGGUUAUCAGGCAUUCAUAUCAAGUAGGGAAAUGAGUAAAGAAAUAAUUAGGUUGGGUUUUGAAAAAGAAGAAUCCUAUGCCUUACAUAAAAUUGUACCUUAAAAAUUUUUUUGGCUGGGCGUGGUGGCUCUUGCCUGUAAUCCCAGCACUUUGGGAGGCCGAGGCAGGCGGAUUACAAGGUCAGGAGAUCGAGACCAUCCUGGCUAACACGGUGAAACCCCGUCUCUACUAAAAAUACAAAAAAUUAUCCGGUGCGGUGGUGGGCGCCUGUAGUCCCAGCUACUCCGGAGGCUGAGGCAGGAGAAUGGCGUGAACCCGGGAGGCGGAGUUUGCAGCGAGCGGAGAUCGCGCCAUUGCACUCCAGCCUGGGCGACAGACCGAGACUCCAUCUCAAAAAACAUAAAAAUAAAAAAAAGGGCAAAUAUGUUGAGCUAAUAUGAUGCUUUUUACAGUAUUUUUUUUCAAGACCCUUAUAUGUUAUGUGAUUAUAUGCAUUUUUUUAAGUUAUUCUCCUUCCUCUGUUAUUCCUACUUCCACUGCAAUUCCUCUCAUCAGUAACUACCAGUUUUAACAUUACAUUAUCCAAAAAAGAGGUGGAUGGAGUCUCGGCUGCAUAUGCUAAUGUUGCACCUUGGACGAGUGAUGUAAUGCCUUUUGCCAUUUUGCAUUUCCAAAUAUAUUCUCAAAUGUAUUCCUAACAGUGGUGUUUGCUACACAAUGAAAUAAUAGAAAUAAAAUAUAAUACAUUAUUUGAAAAGAUAUCCAGGAAUUAUUUUAACAUUUUUCCUUUAAAUUAAUUUCUGAAUGGAAAUGACAGUCAUGAAACCAUUCCUAUAAACUUUAUAAAGUUAAUCAGGGAAAAUGGGAGAAGGAGAAUAAAAAAUAUAUCAAGACUGCAGUACAUUCAGCAUUAAUGAUUAGGUCACCUUGCUCUCUGGCCUUCUUGCUCAUAGUUCUUUGGUGCUUAUUGCCCCAAACUAUGAGAAUAAUUAUGCAGAAUAAUUAUACCCUGUCAGAAUUAUGCAGACCCAAUCACAAGAUUAUAGUUUCCCUUAACUGCUCUGUAGAGAACACCUUUAACAUUGUAAAAUGUCAAGGUUUUCAUUUGAUAUAUUCUCUUAUGUCCUGAAGACUGAUAAAACUAUUGAUGCCAGCUAGUCUGAAAGACCCCAUGAGGAGCUGGCUCACCGAAGAAUGCAGUUUCUAUAUUUUGAUGAUUUCAUCCCCUUUACCCCAAACAAUCAAUGACCCCAAUUUUUCAGUUUCUUGCUCUCCACAAUCUCCUUAAAAACUCCAGAGCUGGGCGGGGCACGGUGGCUCACUCCUGUAAUCCCAGGACUUUGGGAGGCUGAGGUGGGCAGAUCACCAGGUCAGGAGUACGAGACCACUGAAACCCCAUCUCUACUAAAAAUACAAAAAUUAGUCGGGUGUGGUGGUGCACACAUGUAAUCCUAGCUAUUCAGGAGGCUGAAGCAGGAGAAGGCUAAGGCAGGAGAAUCGCCUGAACCCGGGAGGCAGAGGUUGCAGUGGGCUGAGAUCACACCACUGCACUCCAGCCUGGGUGAUGGAGCAAGAUUCUGUUAAAAACAAAACAAAACAAAACAAAAACAAACACCUCCAGACCAGAAUUUCUCAGGGAGGUGGAUUUGAGGGUCCCUCCUGUUUCCUCACCUGGCUGCCCUGCUAUCAUUACAUUCUUUUUCUGCUGUAAGCCCUGCUGUUUCAGUGUUUUGGUAUAUAUUUAUGUUACUGCACAGCAGAUAUCCAAACCUGUUGGUCCUGUAACGAUCAGGCACAUCUUUUGUAUUGGUUUGUCUUGUGUUUUUUUUUUUUUUUUUUUUUUUCCAG
This 20867-nucleotide long non-coding RNA is filed under the name Homo sapiens (human). RNAcentral describes it as "non-protein coding lnc-ANXA2R-1:6". Lineage: Eukaryota; Metazoa; Chordata; Mammalia; Primates; Hominidae. The record is from RNAcentral.